RNAcentral lists this ribosomal RNA (490 nucleotides) under uncultured bacterium. RNAcentral describes it as "partial 16S ribosomal RNA". It matches the Rfam family "Bacterial small subunit ribosomal RNA", at positions 30 to 507 of the family's 1533-position model. The record is from RNAcentral.
AUUGAACGCUGGCGGCAGGCCUAACACAUGCAAGUCGAACGGUAACAGGAAGCAUCUUGCUGCUUCGCUGACGAGUGGCGGACGGGUGAGUCAUGUCUGGGAAACUGCCUGAUGGAGGGGGAUAACUACUGGAAACGGUAGCUAAUACCGCAUAACGUCGCAAGCCCAAAGAGGGGGACCUUAGGGCCUCUUGCCAUCGGAUGUGCCCAGAUGGGAUUAGCUAGUAGGUGGGGUAACGGCUCACCUAGGCGACGAUCCGUAGCUGGUCUGAGAGUACGACCAGCCACACUGGAACUGAGACACGGUCCAGACUCCUACGGGAGGCAGCAGUGGGGAAUAUUGCACAAUGGGCGCAAGCCUGAUGCAGCCAUGCCGCGUGUAUGAAGAAGGCCUUCGGGUUGUAAAGUACUUUCAGCGGGGAGGAAGGGAGUAAAGUUAAUACCUUUGCUCAUUGACGUUACCCGCAGAAGAAGCACCGGCUAACUCCGUG